GGGGGGAGCAAGCGUUGUUCGGAUUCAUUGGGCGUAAAGCGCUCGUAGGCCGCUCUGUAAGUCGGGAGUGAAAGACCACGGCUCAACCGUGGAGACGCUUUCGAAACUGUGGAGCUUGAGGCCGGGAGAGGAGAUCGGAAUUCCUGGUGUAGCGGUGAAAUGCGUAGAUAUCAGGAGGAACACCCGUGGCGAAGGCGGAUCUCUGGACCGGUUCUGACGCUGAUGAGCGAAAGCUAGGGGAGCAAACAGGAUUAGAUACCCUGGUAGUCCUAGCUGUAAACGAUGGGCACUAGGUGUGGGGGGAUCGACCCCUUCCGUGCCGCAGUUAACGCAUUAAGUGCCCCGCCUGGGGAGUACGACCGCAAGGUUGAA
Molecule: ribosomal RNA, 372 nt
Filed under: uncultured bacterium
Lineage: Bacteria
Description: bacterial SSU rRNA
Rfam family: Bacterial small subunit ribosomal RNA
Source: RNAcentral